CUCGAUUGUACCCGCCGUCUCUUCCACACAACAGAAGAAAGUUUAGCAACCAUGUCAUACCAUGUUGAAAGGACGUGCAGCUCCCCUGUCACUGGCCAAUGCCCGGGCAAGUUGAUCUGGCCAGAGUUGUUGGGCAGGAAGGGCAAGGAGGCAAAAGAUGUGAUUGAGAAAGAGAGACCUUCCACCGAUGCCAUUUACGUUCCCCAAGAUGCCGUUGUUACCGGUGACUACUGUUGCAAUCGCGUUAGGAUCUUCGUGGCUGCCACGCCCAAUGGUGACUAUGCAAACGCCAAGGUGAUUGCGGUUCCAAGAGUUGGGUGAUUCACAUGCUAUAUGAUCAGAGGAUGCAUCAACUGAUGGCAUGAAAUAUAUCUUAGUAGAUUCAUGUUAUGAGAAAUAAAAGUAAUGGCCUUAUAUUAAUAAAGCAUUCUCUCUUUUGUUA
Triticum aestivum (bread wheat) is the source of this 442-nucleotide long non-coding RNA. RefSeq lists it as uncharacterized. The transcript is spliced from 2 exons. Lineage: Eukaryota; Viridiplantae; Streptophyta; Magnoliopsida; Poales; Poaceae. The record is from RefSeq and is a predicted model, not a curated record.